RNAcentral lists this long non-coding RNA (819 nucleotides) under Panax ginseng (ginseng). Its description in RNAcentral is "long non-coding RNA (PGIN_LNC009698)". Lineage: Eukaryota; Viridiplantae; Streptophyta; Magnoliopsida; Apiales; Araliaceae. The record is from RNAcentral.
UCUCUUACUCCUAUACCUAAGUACACCUCUCUAUUUCCCUUCCUAAAUUUAUCACAAAAUCUAAACCUCACUACAUUCUUACGUCCCCUCCUCUGUCCAAGAAUGUUGCAACUCUUGUUAAACAUGUGUUCUCAAACAAAAAAUUAAGUUAAAAAAAUAAGAAUAAAAAUAAAAUAUACCGAUAAAUAGUACCUCAUGUUCGUAAAGAUUUCUAAAUUGAGCGAGCUUGCUAAGAAUCAAUACAACCUGCAAAAUAUUUUUAAAAUCUCGUUCAAAUUUAAAUCGUAUUAGUACAAUAUCAUUCAAACAUAGCAAACAACAAUUUCUAAUUUUAAUAAUACCUUUGUUACUGAAAUUUCUUCAAGUUUAAAAAUACCAAUAUUGAUCCAAUUUCUUGUGUGGUUUCUUAUCUACAGAAUUCUCAAGACUGUUGUAAUAAACUUUCCAAAUAUAUUUAUGCUUAAUAAAUAAUACUCCUUCCGUUCCUUAAUAUAGGUCGUUUUAGACAUGUGCACAAGAAUUAAGGAAAUGAUUGAAAAGCGUUAAAUAUACUAUCAAUUGUCUAUAAUACCCUUCACCUCACUUAUCUCAUAAUAAAAAAGUUUUAUUGGGAGAAUUAGAGAAAGACUUAAGAGUAGAGGAGUAGUAUAAGAUAAUGAUAAAUAUGGAUCAAAAAAUUAGGUGGAGUAAUAUAAGGGACAAUUUGGAAAAAAUAGUUAUCAAUUCUCCUAGAUAACCACAAACGACAAAUAAUUAGGAAUAACAAAAAAAGUCUAAAACGACUUACAUAUAAGAAUGGAGGGAGUACCAUUGAGAUCU